Molecule: ribosomal RNA, 500 nt
Filed under: uncultured bacterium
Lineage: Bacteria
Description: partial 16S ribosomal RNA
Rfam family: Bacterial small subunit ribosomal RNA
Source: RNAcentral
ACUGAACGCUGGCGGCAGGCCUAACACAUGCAAGUCGAGCGGAUGACGGGAGCUUGCUCCUUGAUUCAGCGGCGGACGGGUGAGUAAUGCCUAGGAAUCUGCCUGGUAGUGGGGGACAACGUUUCGAAAGGAACGCUAAUACCGCAUACGUCCUACGGGAGAAAGCAGGGGACCUUCGGGCCUUGCGCUAUCGGAUGAGCCUAGGUCGGAUUAGCUAGUUGGUGGGGUAAUGGCUCACCAAGGCGACGAUCCGUAACUGGUCUGAGAGGAUGAUCAGUCACACCGGAACUGGGACACGGUCCAGACUCCUACGGGAGGCAGCAGUGGGGAAUAUUGGACAAUGGGCGAAAGCCUGAUCCAGCCAUGCCGCGUGUGUGAAGAAGGUCUUCGGAUUGUAAAGCACUUUAAGUUGGGAGGAAGGGCAGUAAGCUAAUACCUUGCUGUUUUGACGUUACCGACAGAAUAAGCACCGGCUAACUCUGUGCCAGCCGCCGCGGUAA